AACAAUCUAAAUAGAAAGACGUAUACAUCAGUACAUAAACAAUGGUUGAUAACUUGUAAUAUAAACAAUCGAUAGAUCUAUUGGAAUAGUGAUUUAACUUUUCGCGGCAUUUUUAACAUUUCUAUUUUAAGACAUAUUCAGAUAUGCGCAUAUGCAGUUGUUUUUGUUGCCAAAGUUUGAAUAUCCGCUUUCGAGACCACAAGGUGAUUCUAAACUAAGACUACAGAGUUUUUAUCAAUAUCUUUCCUGUAUACAGCUUUUAUAUUUUACCAUGUCAUCAUGAAGACCUAUGGAAUCACGGAACAACAAGUGUCUGACCAAACAACAACCGUUCUAAAAUGGGCUCCAAAAAGAAAAGAUGGGAGAAGAAAGAAGUUGAGGUUUUCAAUAUUAAUAAAUAAAUUUAUUUUAAUUUUAUCGUAUUGAAUAUUUCUCUAUAAUCAGUGGUUGGACAUUAGAAUACAUGGAUUAGGAACAGCAAACUUUGUUUUAUAUUUUGAUCACUCAGAUAUUUAGAAUAGACAUUGGGCAAAAAGUAUAUGUAUUAAGGGUUGUGUGCUUUCAAAAAUUAGGAUAGUUCAAUAUUGGCAAUAUUUUUUUUUUGUUUGCUGAUUUUUCCAAUAUUUCUCUGGGAUGAUAACUUGUGUUUUUAUAUGCAUAUCAUUAAAAUUAAUAAAUUUAUUUUAAUUUUAUCGUA
Long non-coding RNA from Mytilus californianus (California mussel), 697 nucleotides. RefSeq lists it as uncharacterized. The record is from RefSeq and is a predicted model, not a curated record. The transcript is spliced from 2 exons. Lineage: Eukaryota; Metazoa; Mollusca; Bivalvia; Mytilida; Mytilidae.